AGUGAACGCUGGCGGUAGGCCUAACACAUGCAAGUCGAACGGCAGCACAGUAAGAGCUUGCUCUUACGGGUGGCGAGUGGCGGACGGGUGAGGAAUACAUCGGAAUCUACUUUUUCGUGGGGGAUAACGUAGGGAAACUUACGCUAAUACCGCAUACGACCUACGGGUGAAAGCAGGGGAUCUUCGGACCUUGCGCGAUUGAAUGAGCCGAUGUCGGAUUAGCUAGUUGGCGGGGUAAAGGCCCACCAAGGCGACGAUCCGUAGCUGGUCUGAGAGGAUGAUCAGCCACACUGGAAAUGAGACACGGUCCAGAAUCCUACGGGAGGCAGCAGUGGGGAAUAUUGGACAAUGGGCGCAAGCCUGAUCCAGCCAUACCGCGUGGGUGAAGAAGGCCUUCGGGUUGUAAAGCCCUUUUGUUGGGAAAGAAAAGCAGCAGGUUAAUACCCCGCUGUUCUGACGGUACCCAAAGAAUAAGCACCGGCUAACUUCGUG
RNAcentral lists this ribosomal RNA (492 nucleotides) under uncultured bacterium. Its description in RNAcentral is "partial 16S ribosomal RNA". It matches the Rfam family "Bacterial small subunit ribosomal RNA", at positions 29 to 507 of the family's 1533-position model. The record is from RNAcentral.